RNAcentral lists this ribosomal RNA (419 nucleotides) under bacterium. RNAcentral's name for it is "partial 16S ribosomal RNA". It matches the Rfam family "Bacterial small subunit ribosomal RNA", at positions 355 to 776 of the family's 1533-position model. The record is from RNAcentral.
UGGGGGAUAUUGCACAAUGGGCGAAAGCCUGAUGCAGCGACGCCGCGUGGGGGAUGAAGGCCUUCGGGUUGUAAACUUCUUUUGCUCUGAACAAGGCGCACCAUGGGGUGUGUUGAGUGUAGGGGUUGAUUAGCGCCGGCUAACUACGUGCCAGUAGCCGCGGUAAUACGUAGGGCGCGAGCGUUGUCCGGAAUUAUUGGGCGUAAAGGGCUUGUAGGUGGCUGGUUGCGUCUGUCGUGAAAGCUCAUGGCUUAACUGUGGGUUUGCGGUGGGUACGGGCUGGCUUGAGUGCAGUAGGGGAGGCUGGAAUUCCUGGUGUAGCGGUGGAAUGCGCAGAUAUCAGGAGGAAUACCGGUGGCGAAGGCGGGUCUCUGGGCUGUUACUGACACUGAGGAGCGAAAGCAUGGGGAGCGAACAGG